Molecule: ribosomal RNA, 954 nt
Filed under: Triticum aestivum (bread wheat)
Lineage: Eukaryota; Viridiplantae; Streptophyta; Magnoliopsida; Poales; Poaceae
Description: partial small subunit ribosomal RNA
Source: RNAcentral
AUGGUGCUCGGGAUGGCACGCUGCAUGCUCAAGGCAAAGCAGGUGCCGAGCACGUAUUGGGAGGAGGCCGUGCUCACGGCCGCCUUAAUCCUCAACCGCUCCUUCACAAGGAGCGUCGAUGGCAAGACGCCUUAUGAGGCGUGGUACGGAAGGAAGCCCGAUGUACGCUUCCUCCGCACCUUUGGCUGCGUCGGGCAUGUCAAGACGGCGCGCCCACAGCUGAAGAAGCUCGACGACAGGAGCACCCCGAUGGUGUUCAUGGGCUACGGGACGGGCUCUAAGGCAUACAAGAUGUACGACCCCGUCUCAAAGCGUGUACAUGUCUCGCGCAACGUCAUCUUCGACGAAGAUGCGCGAUGGACUUGGGAGACAUCGGGGGAGUCCCCGGCAAGCAGCUCCUUCACCGUACAGUACCCGAUGUACUCUACAACCCCGGGAAGCAAGACCUCGGGAAUUGCCACGCCGGGAAGCCCGGGAGGUGUGGAUCCGGGAACCGCAACCCCGAGAACACCGUCCUCGGGUAUGGUGUCCCCAGACACCCCGACAUCAAGCAAGGUGGUUCCCAGGAGGCUGGUCGCGACCCCGCCAACAGCAAGGUCGGAGCUGUUCGACGCCGACGACAGUGUUGGCGCCCCCCACAGGUUUCGGCGCAUGGGGGAUCUCCUCGGCGAGGCUGCGGCAACACCGCAACAGCCCGAGGAAGAGGGCGUUGAUGACAAGGACGUCUUGUAUAUGAUGGCCGACGAGGAGCCGACCACGUUCGUGGAGGCCGAGCAAGAGGAUUGCUGGCGCCACGCGAUGCUGGACGAGCUGGCGUCGAUCAAUGACAACGCCACUUGGACACUCACCACACUGCCUGCUGGGCACCGAGCCAUCGGGCUCAAGUGGGUGUUCAAGGUGAAGAAGGACGAGCACGAUGCAAUUGUCAAGCACAAGGCGCGCCUCGUUGCAUAG